This 375-nucleotide ribosomal RNA is filed under the name uncultured organism. RNAcentral's name for it is "bacterial SSU rRNA". It matches the Rfam family "Archaeal small subunit ribosomal RNA", at positions 476 to 851 of the family's 1478-position model. The record is from RNAcentral.
CCAGCACCCCGAGUGGUCGGGACGAUUAUUGGGCCUAAAGCAUCCGUAGCCGGUUUUACAAGUCCUCCGUUAAAUCCAACUGCUUAACAGAUGGGCCGCGGAGGAUACUAUAAAACUAGGAGGCAGGAGAGGCAAGCGGUACUCAGUGGGUAGGGGUAAAAUCCGUUGAUCCAUUGAAGACCACCAGUGGCGAAGGCGGCUUGCCAGAAUGCGCUCGACGGUGAGGGAUGAAAGCUGGGGGAGCAAACCGGAUUAGAUACCCGGGUAGUCCCAGCUGUAAACGAUGCAGACUCGGUGACGGACUAGCUUCAUGCUAGUCCAGUGCCGCAGGGAAGCCGUUAAGUCUGCCGCCUGGGUAGUACGGUCGCAAGACUG